UAGCCUGCAGCAGAGAUGAAGAGGAGCUUUCUGCAUGAAGAAUUGGACAAUACACAUUCCAGACCUCUCCAGUUCAUUGUGACGAGCGAUCAGUCUAAGAGUGUCUUCGUUUGGGCUGCUGACCUCUAAAGAUGAUCCGAUACGUAAGGAACCUAGAGCCAUAAACCUUGCCUCGCUAGACUUGCCAGAAAAAGGUAAGAAAACGGCAGGGGAAAACAAAGCCAACAAAAUGCAAAAUGAGAGCCUAGACUCUCAGAGAAGGCUGAUUACUGAGACGCGUUACGGCCAACGUCCAUU
This 297-nucleotide long non-coding RNA is filed under the name Felis catus (domestic cat). Its description in RNAcentral is "lncRNA (ENSFCAG00000041707.2)". Lineage: Eukaryota; Metazoa; Chordata; Mammalia; Carnivora; Felidae. The record is from RNAcentral.